Molecule: ribosomal RNA, 301 nt
Filed under: uncultured bacterium
Lineage: Bacteria
Description: partial 16S ribosomal RNA
Rfam family: Bacterial small subunit ribosomal RNA
Source: RNAcentral
CAGUAGCCGCGGGAAUACGUAGGUCCCGAGCGUUGUCCGGAUUUAUUGGGCGUAAAGCGAGCGCAGGCGGUUAGAUAAGUCUGAAGUUAAAGGCUGUGGCUUAACCAUAGUACGCUUUGGAAACUGUUUAACUUGAGUGCAAGAGGGGAGAGUGGAAUUCCAUGUGUAGCGGUGAAAUGCGUAGAUAUAUGGAGGAACACCAGUGGCGAAGGCGGCUUUUUGGCCUGUAACUGACACUGAGGCGCGAAAGCGUGGGGAGCAAACAGGAUUAGAUACCCCGGUAGUCCCUGUCUCUUAUACA